AUUGAACGCUGGCGGCAUGCCUUACACAUGCAAGUCGAACGGCAGCACGGGGGCAACCCUGGUGGCGAGUGGCGGACGGGUGAGUAAAGCAUCGGAACGUAUCCUGGAGUGGGGGAUAACGUAGCGAAAGUUACGCUAAUACCGCAUAUUCUGUGAGCAGGAAAGCAGGGGAUCGCAAGACCUUGCGCUCUGGGAGCGGCCGAUGUCGGAUUAGCUAGUUGGUGGGGUAAAGGCCUACCAAGGCGACGAUCCGUAGCGGGUCUGAGAGGAUGAUCCGCCACACUGGGACUGAGACACGGCCCAGACUCCUACGGGAGGCAGCAGUGGGGAAUAUUGCGCAAUGGGCGAAAGCCUGACGCAGCGACGCAGCGUGAGGGACGACGGCCUCGG
Molecule: ribosomal RNA, 390 nt
Filed under: uncultured bacterium
Lineage: Bacteria
Description: bacterial SSU rRNA
Rfam family: Bacterial small subunit ribosomal RNA
Source: RNAcentral